RNAcentral lists this ribosomal RNA (254 nucleotides) under uncultured bacterium. RNAcentral describes it as "partial 16S ribosomal RNA". It matches the Rfam family "Bacterial small subunit ribosomal RNA", at positions 524 to 776 of the family's 1533-position model. The record is from RNAcentral.
UACGUAGGGUGCGAGCGUUGUCCGGAAUUACUGGGCGUAAAGAGCUCGUAGGUGGUUUGUCGCGUUGUCCGUGAAAACUCACAGCUCAACUGUGGGCGUGCGGGCGAUACGGGCAGACUGGAGUACUGCAGGGGAGACUGGAAUUCCUGGUGUAGCGGUGGAAUGCGCAGAUAUCAGGAGGAACACCGGUGGCGAAGGCGGGUCUCGUGGGCCGAUACUGACGCUGAGGAGCGAAAGCGUGGGGAGCGAACAGG